Cryptomeria japonica (Japanese cedar) is the source of this 7650-nucleotide RNA transcript. It is a transcript of the gene named mitochondrial protein pet191 homolog, with no coding region annotated. Lineage: Eukaryota; Viridiplantae; Streptophyta; Pinopsida; Cupressales; Cupressaceae. The record is from RefSeq and is a predicted model, not a curated record. The transcript is spliced from 4 exons.
AGCCACCUAGAAUUUUGAGAGAUUUAACCAAGUAGGAGAAUUCUUCCAUAUAAUUUCAUUCUGGGAGAUCAGUAAAAAGGAACCCAAAGGUGUUGCAGAUAUAUAUGCGGGAUUUCUCACGCCAUGAUCUUCUCAGUUCCGUGCUCUCUUCUUGGAGUACCAUAAACCAUUUUGACCUACUAAACGUUCCCUUAAAUCGCAAUCAUUUCAUUUGAUUUCGUCUUUAACUGCAAAAGAGGAGGGAAGGACAGAACGAUCAAAUACUUUUGUAUUCACCUCAUUUGAAAGAAAAUCAGUAGUUAGAAGAACAGAACAGAAGAGAAAUGGCGAAAUCGUGCAAAGGGUUAGCGGCGGAGUUAGUCAAAUGUCUUAGCGAUUCUCCCUGCGUCAAGGAGGAGAAGCGUUCAUAUAGAGAAUGUGCAGGGGAAAAGGAUCCUGCAAUUCCAAGUGAAUGUGUGGGCUUAAGGGAAACAUAUUUCAAUUGCAAGCGUGGCCAGUCCAAAUGCAGAAAGAUCAAAGGCAAAAAUCAUCCCGAAGUAGACAGAAUUCCAGCCAAAUUGCUGUUUUGAGAGCCGAAGGCAACAGCCACCACCGAGAAUAAAAAAGGAAACCAUCCAAUGAUGAAACAUAAAAAGAUGAACUAGUCUAGCUACCUUUGAAUCAGGAGGAAUUGUGGUGUCAAAGAGGGAAGCUCACAUCAUAAACAACUCGAAGAUUCUAAGGGAGCAUUUUUCCAUUUUUAUUCAAACUUCCAAAUGCAGAUCCUCUUGUAGAACAGAAGAUGGUUAGGCACACCUAAAUUUAUCAGAAAUAGUUUAGGAACAGAAGGCAUUGACAUGGUCCUUCAAGAAACUUUCAGCUCAGAGUCCUAGAAGGCCUCGAGUAUUCAGGUCAUUGGGGAAGUAUUCAUGUAUAGUUGUAAGUAAACACUCUCAAUGAUUCAUUGAGAUCCAUCUAUGUAUGCACUACACUGAUAUCAAUCAUAUUCUUGUGGUACAUUUAUGUUUUCUUCUCUUUCAAAUUUCAAUACUAUUAUAAGAUUGUCAAUAUUUACAUCCUGCGUAGUGGAGACAAUGUAAUUUCUUUCAUGGAACAUUUUACAGUACAGAUCAUCAGCAUUGGUUCACACAAUCUUAUACUUAUGGGCAUUGUUAGCACAAUAAGUCACUGGAUGGGAAAAAGGGGUAUCAGGUUUCAAUCAUCGAACAGAGGUCCCUCACUAAGCUGGCAAUAGAUACUUCUGUUAAGGACCUUGACUUUGACCAAGGCACCUGCACUUGGAGUAAUACUGCGGGAUACACUAAAUUGCUGAAAAAUUAGACAGAGUUGUUGUUUUUUAUUAGUGGAUCAUGGCCAACACACAAUUAGGGUUGGAGACUCCAGGUUUUGAGAGCAUUGUUCCAUUUCCCUCACUAUAUCAUGCAUACUGAGGAGUGAAUUGAUUCAAAUGUGAAAAAAUGUAGCUCUCACAUAUUGACCUUAGUGAUAAUGUAGUGAAAUGCUAGGCUGCUGCAAGCAUCAUUCCAGGCCAUGAACUGUCUAUGUUCAUGGAAAAGAUCAGAUAACUCAAAACCAGAUUGAGACAAUGGAAUAAUGACAAUUUCUGGUAAUAUAUUUCAGCAAUUCUUGGAAAUAAAAAAUCAGUUUGUAAUGUUUCAAAAAGAAAUCUGGCAUAAGGGUUUCCCUUAAACCAUGACAAAUAGGUAACAACCUCUCAUCCAUAGCCCGAUCAGUACUUAAUAAUAGAUGGCAGUGUUACAGAGAGCAGUGUAUUACACAUGGAGACUCCAAUACUAAAUGGUUCCACAAAUUGUUUGAGCAGGCAACGUUGCAAUGCAUCACAUUUUGUCAAAGAGGUUUUUUUAUCUCUUAUUCCAGUGAAGUUCUUACAUGUACAGCAGACCAUAUCCAAAUGAUCAUCACUAAAGAGCUGAUAAACAAGAACAUAACGGGAUUUCAAAUAUAUCCAAAAUUUAAUUGAGCAGAAAAUAACCAAUUGAUGAGGCCCAUCACAGAGUAAUAAAUGCAAAGCACAAUCUUUUCCUUCUAGUGAAAUAAGGCCCCAAGUUCAGGUGGAUUUCCAGUUUUUUUUAUAUUGAAUAUAUUGGCACAUCCUCAAAGAUGAUCUUUUAGCUCGGCUUGGUUUGAUGAGUCAUAAAGAAAUUAAAAAAUGCUUUGCAAGAUGAUUAUAAUGGCCCACCUUUAUUUUCAGCAAACAAGUCAUUGGAUAGAUUGAUGGUUUUUAAUAUAGAUGCAAAAGCAUAUGGAUUUCAAAGAAUUGAUGUUUUUCAAUUAAUCAAGGAGACAAAGCUCCUUUAAAUAGAGUUACAAAGAUGAUGUUUCUAAAAGAAACAAUCAUUAACUAGAGGUGAAAUUAGAAACAACUUAAAUGACCAUUAAUAACACAAAGAGAAAGAUAUUAUUUUAAUACCCUCCCUUAAUGAUCAUCGUUCUAACUACCAAGAGAAAUAACAGAGAAGCUUGCCCCCUUCUUCUCAGAACAUGCUGCAACAGAAGACAAGACCCUGCCACUAACUCUGCCACUUGAGAUGAGUUUGCCACCAACCCUCCUAGAAACUGCAGAACUUUUGGAGAUACCCAAAACAACACCAACCGUCCAACCUGAUGUUGGAGAACUGUUCUUCCCUGUAACUAGAGACACACCAAGAACAGUUGUCACGAUUUUGAGGAAAAAAUCGGCAAACCCUCCAAACUAUUGCAGAUGAGCAAGAUGCCCGAAAAUAGACUACAAACAAGAGACUAGUGCAGAUGUUCGCACAACAACUUUAGGUGCGACUAAAAACAGACUGCAACAAAGUACAAUUUUUGAGGAAAAAAUCAUAAACCCUCCCAUGAUUUUUUUUUAUAGGGACAAAAAAUAUUUAAAAACCCAGAGACUUUUUUUAAGGGAAAAAAAUAUUAAAACCCAUCAGAAUUUUUUUUCAGGUAAAAAAAUAUUAAAAACCAAAACAAACAUUGAUGCCCAUAAGCCAUCUUCAUGCUUUUCGAGGCACCCAAAACUAGGUACUUAGAAGAUGCUAAGUGCACAAAACCUGAUUGCCUUCCAACAUCAAGUUGGUCAAUGACACCAUCUUGCAUGUUUCCCAAUGCACGGAAAAUGAAAAAACUGAGAAGAGGCGCUGGCACUGAAUUGAAAAAAUUCGAAUCCCAAUGCAGAAACAGAGGCAGAUGCAGGUACAAACUUCAAAAAAUGAAGUACGGUUGGCAUGAAUUUCAAGAAAAAAUUCCGGCUGACCCAAAAAAAUCCGAAGACAACCCACAAAUCCUUGCGAAAAACCUAGAAAGAAUCUUCUAUCAGAAUCUGGAUCUGCUGGCUCAAAAAUCGAGGCACCCAAAAAAUUAUGACGACGACCCAGUUGAGAUCUCGAAAAACCCACCAAGAAUCUGCAAUGGGAAAAAAUUUUCGACUUGAUCUGAACCGAAAAAACCCUAGUCGAAAAUGCAGAUUUCUGUCCAAAAAAUGGCUGAAAAAAUUUGCAGGCGGGAAAAAAAUCGUGACGCGCGAAAUGCAGGAGAGACGGGUUGCGGGAGAGGGCAGAAAAUGGCUAGAAAAUAGCUGAAAACCCUAGUAGCCGCAGCCAAAACGAAUUGCCAAAAAACAGAAAUUUUUUCAAAAAAAACUGUUAAAAAUUCGUGACGAAUUUUUAAUUGAAAAAUUAUUUCGAAAAUAACCAAGGCUCUGAUACCAUAAUACAGAUGCAAAAGCAUAUGGAUUUCAAAGAAUCGAUGUUGUUCAAUUAAUCAAGGAGACAAAACUCCUUUAAAUAGAGUUACAAAGAUGAUUGUUUCUAAAAGAAACAAUCAUUAACUAGAAGGUGAAAUUAGAAACAACUUAAAUGACCAUUAAUAACACAAAGAGAAAGAUAUUAUUAUAAUAGUUUUAACUAAACUUCGAUGCAUUCUAUCUCUAUCAAUGGAGAAAUGGUUACUCCUUUUUUGUCUUCAAUAUGCUUACAUCAAAGAGACAUUUUCAGCAUGUAUGCAUUCACCAUUGUGGGAGAGAGUAUAUCCAAGCUCCUUGAAAGAGGCACAGAGUAUUGGAAAGAUUUAUGGAUUUCAAAUUGUUGAUAGAGCAAUAAAUAUGCUAACUUCUAUUUGGUUGAUGAUGCAUUGCUUUUCUGCACUCAUUGUUAGGUAAAUAAAAAAAUUGGGAAGGAUUCUCACCAAAUGUCAGGUGGUCUUGUGACAGAACUGAGAUACAAAUAAACACAUAUCUCACAUAGUUUUUGCGUGUGUUAUUGCAAUAAGAAAGGGAAUUCCUUAGGAUUCUCAAAUCUCAAAACCCAAUACCAUCCACUGUACUUGAGAUUCCCAUCAUAUCUGAAGCUCAAAGAAAAUCUUCGGGAUGGAACUAUACAUCAACUUCAAAAUAAGUUCUCACUGGACACUCUGUUGGCUCUCAUUUGCUGGAAAAUAACUACUGCUGAACUCUGUUCCACAAGCAGUUUUGAUUUAUCAGUUCAAAUUUCUAUCUCUUCCUAAGAAUAUUGAAUAUUUUUUAGUCACUAUUCAAGGAGAUUUUGUUUGAAAAGGGUUCAACGAAAAGCACAAAUAUCCUCUGGUGUCAUGGAAAAUGUAAUCCAAAAAAUUAAGGAGGCCUAAAUUAACAAAAUAUUUAAUUUUUUGACGAAGCACUUGUAAUGAGAGCAACAUGCCACCUUCAGAAGGAUGCACCCACCAUCUGGAGCCCUAUCAUUGAGUAAAACUAAUCUCAGCUAACAAGGUAAUAUCCUCUUGGAGGAGUAGCAAACCACCUUCUUAGGGACCGCCAGACUUCUCUGAAUAGAUACGACUAAUGGACAAAACAUUUGACCAUAGGAGAAUAGCUGGAACAAACUGCCUGCCAUUCAAAACUCUAAACUACAGGAGUUUUAUGUGAUGAACCUUGCUGGUUCAACUCUUCAACUGCUGUAAUUUGUAGAUCUUCUUUGUAAUUUUUAAUUAUUAAGAUGGUCUUUCAGAAUUAGACCGAAGUUGCGGAAGAGGGUUUCUUUAAUUUGCAACACAUAUAGAAAUAAUACAUGAAUUUAAUCAACUGAAACAAUGAAUUGGAGAAUUUAUAAGCAUACCCAUAGGUCCUUAGCCAAUUUAUUGAAAAGAAAGAAUAAAUCAGCAAUUUACAAAGUUCUGAUUUUUAUUCUGAAACAAUUCAGAUCUGCUCUUAUUUAAUACUAAGGCACCCAAACAGUAGAAGAUGGCGCCAAUAAAUGAGCAAGCCGUGUGUUUGAGAAAAGAAGCCUCCAAACCACAGAAGAAUUAAUCAACAAAACAGUAAAUAGGGAAACCUACAACAAAUCUGCCUUGUAAGAAGCCAAAUCUGCCCCAAUUCAAUUCAAUUUGACUUUUGAAUGAAGCCAAUCAAGCUGCAACAAUUCGAUUGAUCUUUCACAAUCUCAAAGCUAUUGAAUUCUGAAGAAUGCACGCUCUCCAAAAUAGGUCCAAACCCUAGCCGCCAUAGCCAAGUGCUUAGAAGAUAAUGUCAAAUGCUCAAUAUCAAUGAAUGAGGUUUAAUUUCCAUCUUGGCUGCCUAAAUACCCAAAAGGUGCGAUUUUUGGCAAUUAGGGAUUUAAAAAUUAUAACUUGCUUUUAGGAUUUCCAACUUAACCCUAAAAGCAAUGCCUAGCUUAGGAGAUAAUAAAUAUUCACUUAAAUAAAUUUAAGUGAUGCACUUUAUGAUUUUAUAUUAAUAUUUCAUUAAAAUAUUAAUUGCCUGUGGAACCACUUAAAAAUUCAUAUCUCUCUCAUUAUUGCUCGGAAAUUGAAUCUGUCAGAAGCUAGGGCCACAGUUCGCCAUGCCAAUGAAAAUAGGACCAUGUCUAUUUUUAGCAAAUUUUCCCUAAAAAAUAGGAAAUCCUCAUAAAGUGUCAGAAACUGAUGAAACGAAGACCAGAACUGAACUCAACACUGAACUAGAACAAAUAGAUAGACCACUCCUCAAGAUAUUGCAUUACUGACCCCUUUAUCCAUACCCUGUUAGCCUACAAGGGUCCAAAAAUAGGCUAACUCCUCAAACCCAAGUCCUUGACUAGGAUGGGGACAUUACACUUUAACAUGUUCUCUAGGCACAAGGGUAUACCCAUGUCAUGGAUUAUUAUUAUUAUACAAAUUUAGUGGGAUAUGGAAAAGAUGAAAGCAGUAGAAUGCAAACCUAAUUUAAAUAGAACAACCUCUAAUGGAGCUGUACAAUGUACUUGUUUUUCGUGUGAACACAUAAGAUACAAUGACUUUUAGGACUCAGUUUGCUGUACACCUUCCAAUCCUUAAAUUAUUUUGAUAAUUGUAGUGUUGUAUUUAGGACCCUCUUGGGAUGGGGCACUAUUUUUGUGAGGAGUCUGAAGAUUCCUUGUUAUGACAUAUCUUGCCUCUUGGAAUAUGUGUAAUGAUAGUUGUAAGAGCAUUAAUACUAGGAGUUACAAGUAGACUAGGUUGAGCAUUUUUAACCAGGUAAAUAUAACAGUGUUUAAGAGCAUCUUGUAAGAGCAGCUAGUGCUCCCAUAUGCAACACUUAGGUUAACUAGUUGAUUCCCUUGCUCGCAAGGGGUGAUCCUUCUUUGGGAAAUAUCUUCAAUGUAUGGAAUAGGUGGAACACACGGGUCUCAUUGGAUUCACUUGACCCAUGGUUUGUAACUUAUGAAUUGAUCCCUAGUCUUGGAAACCAUUUGCAGUCUUGGUUGCCUCUUGCUUAUAAAUCCAAGGUUUGGGAUGGAGUUCCAUAUGGUUUCUGUAUGACAAGUACAUGUUGCCAGAAUUGCUUUUGACAGAGUUGAACAUCUCCUUGAUAGUAUAGAUGCAUUCUUUUUGCAUUUUAAUUUUAUUAUUGUUCCUAUUUAUAUUAUAAUUAGAGUGGUGUUAUUUGUUUACUGGGUUUUUAAAUGAUAGGGCUUCCUAGGGUAUAUCUUAUUUUAUGUGUUUUUUUUUGGUCCACAUUAUGGAACCCCCUGUGUCCAUAUACUAACUUGCAUUCUUCACUUGUGUCUAUAUACUAACUUGGGUGCCAUUUUUGCUUCAAUUCUAUCGUCAUUUUGGUAAGGAAAACAUGUUUUUUGGUGCUUGAUUGAGUUUAAGCCCCUAUUUACUUUUUGUUGGAGGUUUUGGAUGUUUUAUGCUGCUAACACCAAGUAAUGAAAAUUGGCAAAGUUUGUGCUUGAUGGAACUUUCUUUAGUGGAUGCCAAAAGGUGGAACUUGUGGAGGUUUUUGCCAUCAAUGCAAAGGAAAAUUGUCAAAGUUGACCCUUGGUGGAACUUUUUCCACUUGAUACCAAAAAGUGGAACUUGUGGAGGUUUUGGUCAUCAAUGCCAAGUUGUAAAAAUUGGCAAAGCUGGCACUCGGUGGAACUUUCUCUUGUUGACACCAAAAAAUGGACUUUAUGGGGGUUUUUGCUAUCAAUGCAAAUUUUCAAGUUGAUAUGAGGACUCGUAUCCGAGGGAACAAAGGUUACUGAAGCAUUUGAUUUUCUGGUACUACAGCUUGUGGUUUCCAUUGCAACAAUUUUGUGGAGAAUCUUAAUGUAAAUUUAGGCUUUUGGUGAGGUGAAUUUUAAAUCAUAUCUAGAGUUUUCUAAACUGUUUUAGUGAGAAAUAUAUGUAAGUGUAUUGAACCAAACAAUAAAAAUCUUUCCUUCAUAGUUU